RNAcentral lists this ribosomal RNA (492 nucleotides) under uncultured bacterium. Its description in RNAcentral is "partial 16S ribosomal RNA". It matches the Rfam family "Bacterial small subunit ribosomal RNA", at positions 28 to 507 of the family's 1533-position model. The record is from RNAcentral.
GAUGAACGCUAGCUACAGGCUUAACACAUGCAAGUCGAGGGGAAACGACAUCGAAAGCUUGCUUUUGAUGGGCGUCGACCGGCGCACGGGUGAGUAACGCGUAUCCAACCUGCCCAUCACUUGGGAAUAACCUUGCGAAAGUAAGACUAAUACCCAAUGAUAUCCCACGAAGGCAUCGGAAUGGGAUUAAAGAUUUAUCGGUGAUGGAUGGGGAUGCGUCUGAUUAGCUUGUUGGCGGGGUAACGGCCCACCAAGGCAACGAUCAGUAGGGGUUCUGAGAGGAAGGUCCCCCACAUUGGAACUGAGACACGGUCCAAACUCCUACGGGAGGCAGCAGUGAGGAAUAUUGGUCAAUGGGCGGGAGCCUGAACCAGCCAAGUAGCGUGCAGGAAGACGGCCCUAUGGGUUGUAAACUGCUUUUAUAAGGGAAUAAAGUGGGUCACGUGUGACUUUUUGCAUGUACCUUAUGAAUAAGGACCGGCUAAUUCCGUG